Molecule: ribosomal RNA, 271 nt
Filed under: Escherichia coli
Lineage: Bacteria; Pseudomonadati; Pseudomonadota; Gammaproteobacteria; Enterobacterales; Enterobacteriaceae
Also listed under: 1 other name
Description: partial 16S ribosomal RNA
Rfam family: Bacterial small subunit ribosomal RNA
Source: RNAcentral
AAAUUGAAGAGUUUGAUCAUGGCUCAGAUUGAACGCUGGCGGCAGGCCUAACACAUGCAAGUCGAACGGUAACAGGAAACAGCUUGCUGUUUCGCUGACGAGUGGCGGACGGGUGAGUAAUGUCUGGGAAACUGCCUGAUGGAGGGGGAUAACUACUGGAAACGGUAGCUAAUACCGCAUAACGUCGCAAGACCAAAGAGGGGGACCUUCGGGCCUCUUGCCAUCGGAUGUGCCCAGAUGGGAUUAGCUAGUAGGUGGGGUAACGGCUCAC